UAGGGAAUCUUCGGCAAUGGGGGGAACCCUGACCGAGCAACGCCGCGUGAGUGAAGAAGGUUUUCGGAUCGUAAAGCUCUGUUGUUAAGGAAGAACGAGUGUGAGAAUGGAAAGUUCAUACUGUGACGGUACUUAACCAGAAAGGGACGGCUAACUACGUGCCAGCAGCCGCGGUAAUACGUAGGUCCCGAGCGUUGUCCGGAUUUAUUGGGCGUAAAGCGAGCGCAGGCGGUUAGAUAAGUCUGAAGUUAAAGGCAGUGGCUCAACCAUUGUAGGCUUUGGAAACUGUUUAACUUGAGUGCAGAAGGGGAGAGUGGAAUUCCAUGUGUAGCGGUGAAAUGCGUAGAUAUAUGGAGGAACACCAGUGGCGAAGGCGACUCUCUGGUCUGUAACUGACGCUGAGGUUCGAAAGCGUGGGUAGCAAACAGG
Molecule: ribosomal RNA, 429 nt
Filed under: Bacteroidota bacterium
Lineage: Bacteria; Pseudomonadati; Bacteroidota
Description: Bacteroidetes bacterium partial 16S ribosomal RNA
Rfam family: Bacterial small subunit ribosomal RNA
Source: RNAcentral